ACCCUAGUGGCGGACGGGUGAGUAACGCGUGGGUAACCUGCCCCAUACCGGGGGAUAACACUUAGAAAUAGGUGCUAAUACCGCAUAAGCGCACGGUACUGCAUGGUACAGUGUGAAAAACUCCGGUGGUAUGGGAUGGACCCGCGUCUGAUUAGCUUGUUGGCGGGGUAACGGCCCACCAAGGCGACGAUCAGUAGCCGGCCUGAGAGGGUGGACGGCCACAUUGGGACUGAGACACGGCCCAAACUCCUACGGGAGGCAGCAG
Molecule: ribosomal RNA, 265 nt
Filed under: uncultured bacterium
Lineage: Bacteria
Description: partial 16S ribosomal RNA
Rfam family: Bacterial small subunit ribosomal RNA
Source: RNAcentral